AUAAGUGCAAUUCCUGAACUUUCCAGGAAGUGGCGGUAGCGUUCUUGUCACCUGCUGUGUUAUAGUUGAAUUAAUACUGAGAGAACGUCAGCGGUUUCUCCUGCCUGCCCUUGUGGUUAUCGUUGGUGAUUUGGUGUUCAAGUGUUAGUACAUGACUAAUAAGAUUGAAAGUGAAGACCCAGAUGAUUCAACAUGACAGCACUUCUGAUGAGGACUAUGUCCCAUCUAUCUGUCUUAGAACAGGUGACGCUGCCGAUCGUCCCCUUGUAGACCUUCUCCGUCUACUUGAUGGUCUUCCUCUUGCUGCACAGCUGGGUUCAGCAGCUCCAGUUGUUUCUUCCCGUCCAUUUUUCUUUUACUGGUGUCUGCACCUUUAGCUCUUCCCCGUGAUGCUUCAUGCCGGCUGCUCUGAGAAGGAAUCCAGGUCUCAUCAGGCUUUGACAUGGACAAGUCCAGUAAAGAG
This is a long non-coding RNA of Misgurnus anguillicaudatus (oriental weatherfish), 463 nucleotides long. RefSeq lists it as uncharacterized. The record is from RefSeq and is a predicted model, not a curated record. NCBI's taxonomy places the organism in Eukaryota, Metazoa, Chordata, Actinopteri, Cypriniformes, Cobitidae.